CCUACGGGAGGCUGCAGUGAGGAAUAUUGGUCAAUGGGCGCUAGCCUGAACCAGCCAAGUAGCGUGAAGGAUGACUGCCCUAUGGGUUGUAAACUUCUUUUAUAUGGGAAUAAAGUGCAGUAUGUAUACUGCUUUGCAUGUACCUUAUGAAUAAGGAUCGGCUAACUCCGUGCCAGCAGCCGCGGUAAUACGGAUGAUCCGAGCGUUAUCCGGAUUUAUUGGGUUUAAAGGGAGCGUAGGCGGGUUGUUAAGUCAGUUGUGAAAGUUUGCGGCUCAACCGUAAAAUUGCAGUUGAUACUGGCAGCCUUGAGUACAGUAGAGGUAGGCGGAAUUCGUGGUGUAGCGGUGAAAUGCUUAGAUAUCACGAAGAACUCCGAUUGCGAAGGCAGCCUGCUGGACUGUAACUGACGCUGAUGCUCGAAAGUGUGGGUAUCAAACAGGAUUAGAUACCCUUGUAGUC
Molecule: ribosomal RNA, 460 nt
Filed under: uncultured bacterium
Lineage: Bacteria
Description: partial 16S ribosomal RNA
Rfam family: Bacterial small subunit ribosomal RNA
Source: RNAcentral